UACGUAGGGCGCAAGCGUUGUCCGGAAUUAUUGGGCGUAAAGAGCUCGUAGGCGGCUUGUCACGUCGGGUGUGAAAGACCGGGGCUUAACCCCGGUUCUGCAUUCGAUACGGGCUGGCUAGAGUGUGGUAGGGGAGAUCGGAAUUCCUGGUGUAGCGGUGAAAUGCGCAGAUAUCAGGAGGAACACCGGUGGCGAAGGCGGAUCGCUGGGCCAUUACUGACGCUGAGGAGCGAAAGCGUGGGGAGCGAACAGG
This 253-nucleotide ribosomal RNA is filed under the name uncultured bacterium. Its description in RNAcentral is "partial 16S ribosomal RNA". It matches the Rfam family "Bacterial small subunit ribosomal RNA", at positions 524 to 776 of the family's 1533-position model. The record is from RNAcentral.